This 468-nucleotide ribosomal RNA is filed under the name uncultured bacterium. RNAcentral describes it as "partial 16S ribosomal RNA". It matches the Rfam family "Bacterial small subunit ribosomal RNA", at positions 28 to 507 of the family's 1533-position model. The record is from RNAcentral.
GACGAACGCUGGCGGCGUGCUUAACACAUGCAAGUCGAACGGAAAGGCCCUGCUUUGGUGGGGUGCUCGAGUGGCGAACGGGUGAGUAACACGUGAGUAACCUGCCCUUGACUGUGGGAUAACUUCAGGAAACUGGGGCUAAUACCGGAUAGGAGCUCCUGCUGCAUGGUGGGGGUUGGAAAGUUUCGGCGGUUGGGGAUGGACUCGCGGCUUAUCAGCUUGUUGGGGGGGUAGUGGCUUACCAAGGCUUUGACGGGUAGCCGGCAUGAGAGGGUGACCGGCCCCAUUGGGACUGCGAUACGGACCAGACUCCAACGGGAGGCAGCGGUGGGGAAUAUUGCACAGUGGGCGGGAGCCUGAUGCAGCAACGCCGCGUGCGGGAUGACGGCCUUCGGGUUGUAAACCGCUUUCGCCUGUGACGAAGCGUGAGUGACGGUAAUGGGUAAAGAAGCACCGGCUAACUACGUG